AGAGUUUGAUCAUGGCUCAGGACGAACGCUGGCGGCGUGCCUAACACAUGCAAGUCGAACGGAGAUACUUUUGAAGCUUGCGAUAGAGUAUCUUAGUGGCGGACGGGUGAGUAACGCGUGGGUAAUCUGCCCAUAAGUGGGGAACAACAGUUGGAAACGGCUGCUAAUACCGCAUAAUCUGCCUUAGGGCAGGAAAGGUGGCCUCUGAAUAUGCUGCCGCUUAUGGAUGAGCCCGCGUCUGAUUAGCUAGUUGGUGGGGUAAAGGCCUACCAAGGCGACGAUCAGUAGCCGGCCUGAGAGGGUGAACGGCCACACUGGGACUGAGACACGGCCCAGACUCCUACGGGAGGCAGCAGUGGGGAAUAUUGCGCAAUGGGGGAAACCCUGACGCAGCGACGCCGCGUGAGCGAAGAAGGCCUUAGGGUUGUAAAGCUCUGUUUUAGGGGACGGAUGUUAUGGGGAGUAAUAUGCCCUGUAAAUGACGGUACCCUAAGAGGAAGCCCCGGCUAACUACGUGCCAGCAGCCGCGGUAAGACGUAGGGGGCGAGCGUUGUCCGGAAUUACUGGGCGUAAAGAGCACGUAGGCGGGAACUUAAGUCAGGUGUGAAAGACCGAGGCUCAACCUCGGGUGUGCACUUGAAACUGGGUUUCUUGAGGGCAGGAGAGGAAAGCAGAAUUCCUGGUGUAGCGGUGAAAUGCGUAGAAAUCAGGAGGAAUACCAGUGGCGAAGGCGGCUUUCUGGACUGACCCUGACGCUGAGGUGCGAAAGCGUGGGUAGCAAACAGGAUUAGAUACCCUGGUAGUCCACGCCGUAAACGAUGGAUACUAGGUGUGGGAGGUAUCGACCCCUUCCGUGCCGCAGCUAACGCAAUAAGUAUCCCGCCUGGGGAGUGCGGUCGCAAGGCUGAAACUCAAAGGAAUUGACGGGGGCCCG
This 934-nucleotide ribosomal RNA is filed under the name uncultured Syntrophomonas sp. Its description in RNAcentral is "bacterial SSU rRNA". It matches the Rfam family "Bacterial small subunit ribosomal RNA", at positions 8 to 923 of the family's 1533-position model. The record is from RNAcentral. Lineage: Bacteria; Bacillati; Bacillota; Clostridia; Eubacteriales; Syntrophomonadaceae.